UUAGGGGCUUCAUUAACGUAGAGGUUAUUCAUCUGAAAGUGGUGUGUUCAUCUCUGGGUUCAUCUGUGCCUUCAUCUGGUUCAUCUGUGGGUUCAUCUGAGGUGAGUUCAUAUGUUUCAUUCAACGGUUAAUCGAUUAUGGGUCAAAUAUCACAGGCAAAAUAAUCGAUUAUGGUGGAAUCUGCAAAUUUUUCGAGGGAUAAUCGAUUAUGUAUAGUGUGUAAAAUGGGUGAUAAUCGAUUAUCUGUUUGGGAUAAUCAAUUAUGGUCUUUUUUAGCCUAUCAGCAUAAUCGAUUAUGCUUUGAUAAUCGAUUAUGUGAUGUGUGUGAAACGGGACAUAAUCGAUUAUGUGUUUGGGAUAAUCGAUUAUGGUCUUUUUUAGCCUAUCAGCAUAAUCGAUUAUGCAUUGAUAAUCGAUUAUCCUCUCUGUGUAAGUGAUGCCAUAAUCGAUUAUGUUCUUGAAUUUUUGAAAUAAAAUUGUUUGUUAAUUUAUUUGUUUUCUGGUAUUUUCAGGUGUGUUGAUCUUCCUAUAAGGCAUCCUAUUGCUGUUGUUGUUGUUGAGUGCUUAUCUUCAGGUUUUAAUUUUUUUUAUGUAAAAUUAUUUUAUUUAAUUUGUGUUUUAUAUUUAUGAUUAUGGUUUUGUAAUAUAAUUUGUUUAGAAUUUAU
Molecule: long non-coding RNA, 665 nt
Filed under: Phaseolus vulgaris (common bean)
Lineage: Eukaryota; Viridiplantae; Streptophyta; Magnoliopsida; Fabales; Fabaceae
Description: long non-coding RNA (PVUL_LNC004160)
Source: RNAcentral